Molecule: ribosomal RNA, 238 nt
Filed under: uncultured bacterium
Lineage: Bacteria
Description: partial 16S ribosomal RNA
Rfam family: Bacterial small subunit ribosomal RNA
Source: RNAcentral
GAUCAUGGCUCAGGAUGAACGCUGGCGGCGUGCCUAACACAUGCAAGUCGAACGGCAGCGAGGAGUGCUUGCACUCUGUCGGCGAGUGGCGAACGGCUGAGUAACGCGUAGGAACGUACCCCAAAGUGAGGGAUAAGCCCGAGAAAUCGGGUCUAAUACCGCAUAUGAUCUUCGGAUUAAAGCAUUUAUGCGCUUUGGGAACGGCCUGCGUCGGAUUAGGUUGUUGGUGAGGUAAUGG